Molecule: microRNA precursor, 82 nt
Filed under: Nomascus leucogenys (northern white-cheeked gibbon)
Lineage: Eukaryota; Metazoa; Chordata; Mammalia; Primates; Hylobatidae
Description: miRNA (ENSNLEG00000030636.1)
Source: RNAcentral
GGUGGAGAAUUGAUUGAGCCUGGGAGAUGGAGGUUGCAGUGAGCUGAGAUCAUGCCACUGCACUCCAGCCUGGGCGACAGAG